UUGGGCCUACGGGACGCAGCAGUGGGGAAUAUUGCACAAUGGGGGAAACCCUGAUGCAGCGACGCCGCGUGAGUGAAGAAGUAUUUCGGUAUGUAAAGCUCUAUCAGCAGGGAAGAAAAUGACGGUACCUGACUAAGAAGCCCCGGCUAACUACGUGCCAGCAGCCGCGGUAAUACGUAGGGGGCAAGCGUUAUCCGGAUUUACUGGGUGUAAAGGGAGCGUAGACGGCGUGCCAAGUCUGAUGUGAAAGGCCGAGGCUCAACCCCGGGACUGCAUUGGAAACUGGCAUGCUGGAGUGCCGGAGG
RNAcentral lists this ribosomal RNA (305 nucleotides) under uncultured bacterium. RNAcentral's name for it is "bacterial SSU rRNA". It matches the Rfam family "Bacterial small subunit ribosomal RNA", at positions 333 to 655 of the family's 1533-position model. The record is from RNAcentral.